This 215-nucleotide long non-coding RNA is filed under the name Elaeis guineensis (African oil palm). RNAcentral's name for it is "long non-coding RNA (EGUI_LNC032959)". The record is from RNAcentral. Lineage: Eukaryota; Viridiplantae; Streptophyta; Magnoliopsida; Arecales; Arecaceae.
GCUAUAGCUAAAGAUUUAGGCAAUCUCUAGAAACUCUCAUGAACUAAUUAAGAUAUCUAUGCAUGGCCAUUAAUAUGCAAAUUUGCGAUAUGAGUUUCUAUAUUAUAUAUGUAAUAGUAGAAAUCUGAGUUAAAAAAAUAUAGUUCAAGAUUUGAUUCACUUCAUUUUUUUGAGAUUGAUACUAUUAAUAUCAAGUAAAAUUAAGUCAUGAAAGA